AUACGUAGGGAGCGAGCGUUGUCCGGAAUUACUGGGUGUAAAGGGAGCGUAGGCGGGACUGCAAGUCAGAUGUGAAAUACCGGGGCUUAACCCCGGAGCUGCAUUUGAAACUGUGGUUCUUGAGUGAAGUAGAGGCAAGCGGAAUUCCUGGUGUAGCGGGGAAAUGCGUAGAUAUCAGGAGGAACACCGGUGGCGAAGGCGGCUUGCUGGGCUUUUACUGACGCUGAGGCUCGAAAGCGUGGGUAGCAAACAGGAUUAGAUACCCUGGUAGUCCACGCUGUAAACGAUGAUUACUAGGUGUGGGGGGACUGACCCCUUCCGUGCCGCAGUUAACACAAUAAGUAAUCCACCUGGGGAGUACGGCCGCAAGGUUGAAACUCAAAUGAAUUGACGGGG
Molecule: ribosomal RNA, 396 nt
Filed under: uncultured bacterium
Lineage: Bacteria
Description: partial 16S ribosomal RNA
Rfam family: Bacterial small subunit ribosomal RNA
Source: RNAcentral